UUGCUCACUUUGCCAGCACAUAUACAAAAAUUGGAACGAUACAGAGAUUAGCAUGGCCCUUGUGCAAGGAUGACUUGCAUAUUUGUGAAGCAUUCCUGAUUUAA
This is a small nuclear RNA of Dipodomys spectabilis (banner-tailed kangaroo rat), 104 nucleotides long. NCBI's taxonomy places the organism in Eukaryota, Metazoa, Chordata, Mammalia, Rodentia, Heteromyidae. The record is from RefSeq and is a predicted model, not a curated record.